RNAcentral lists this ribosomal RNA (464 nucleotides) under uncultured bacterium. Its description in RNAcentral is "partial 16S ribosomal RNA". It matches the Rfam family "Bacterial small subunit ribosomal RNA", at positions 28 to 507 of the family's 1533-position model. The record is from RNAcentral.
GACGAACGCUGGCGGCGUGCUUAACACAUGCAAGUCGAACGGAAAGGCCCAGCUUGCUGGGUGCCCGAGUGGCGAACGGGUGAGUAACACGUGGGUGAUCUGCCUCUAACUUCGGGAUAAGCUUGGGAAACUGGGUCUAAUACCGGAUAGGACAAUCGUUUAGUGUCGGUUGUGGAAAGUUUUUUCGGUUAGGGAUGAGCCCGCGGCCUAUCAGCUUGUUGGUGGGGUAAUGGCCUACCAAGGCGUCGACGGGUAGCCGGCCUGAGAGGGUGGACGGCCACAUUGGGACUGAGAUACGGCCCAGACUCCUACGGGAGGCAGCAGUGGGGAAUAUUGCACAAUGGGCGCAAGCCUGAUGCAGCGACGCCGCGUGGGGGAUGACGGCCUUCGGGUUGUAAACCUCUUUCGACAGGGACGAAGCUUUGGUGACGGUACCUGUAUAAGAAGCACCGGCUAACUACGUG